ACUUGGAUUGUCGCUAAGUUUGUCUCACUAA
Molecule: non-coding RNA, 31 nt
Filed under: Rattus norvegicus (Norway rat)
Lineage: Eukaryota; Metazoa; Chordata; Mammalia; Rodentia; Muridae
Source: RNAcentral